CAAGGGUAGUGGCGAACGUUCGCGUAAANACGUAGACAACCUGCCCGCGAGUGGGGGAUAACAGCCCGAAAGGGCUGCUAAUACCGCAUGUUGGCGGCUUCUGGCAUCAGGGGCUGGCUAAAGGAGCAAUUCGCUCGCGGAUGGGUNUGCGGCCUAUCAGGUAGUUGGUGGGGUAACGGCCUACCAAGCCGACGACGGGUAGCUGGUNUGAGAGGAUGAUCAGCCGGACGGGGACUGAGACACGGCCCCGACUCCUUNGGGAGGCAGCAAUGAGGAAUAUUGCGCAAUGGGGGAAACCCUGACGCAGCGACGCCGCGUGGGUGAGGAAGUCCUUCGGGAUGUAAAGCCCUUUUGACCGGGACGAAACGGACGGUACCGGUCGAAGAAGCCCCGGCUAANUACGUGCCAGCAGCCGCGUUAAUACGUAGGGGCCAAGCGUUNUCCGGAUUUACUGGGCGUAAAGCGCGCGUAGGCGGAACGGUCAGUCUGGCCUGAAAGCCCCCGGUUCAACCGGGGAGGGUGGCUGGAAACUGCCUUCUUGAGGAUGAGAGAGGCGUGUGGAAUUCCUGGUGUAGCGGUGAAAUGCGUAGAUAUCAGGAGGAACACCCGUGGCGAAGGCGGCACGCUGGUUCAUCCCUGACGCUGAGGUGCGAAAGCGUGGGGAGCGAACGGGAUUAGAUACCCCGGUAGUCCACGCCGUAAACGAUGGUCACUAGGUGUGUGCGGUAUCGACCCCGCACGUGCCGCAGCUAACGCAAUAAGUGACCCGC
This 770-nucleotide ribosomal RNA is filed under the name uncultured bacterium #0319-6H22. RNAcentral describes it as "bacterial SSU rRNA". It matches the Rfam family "Bacterial small subunit ribosomal RNA", at positions 87 to 872 of the family's 1533-position model. The record is from RNAcentral.